Molecule: non-coding RNA, 113 nt
Organism: Acanthosepion pharaonis
Lineage: Eukaryota; Metazoa; Mollusca; Cephalopoda; Sepiida; Sepiidae
Source: the annotation of a GenBank genome assembly
UACGGUCGCAUCAGGUCGAAACACCUGGUUCCGUACCAUAACCGAAGUUAAGCAAUGUCGGGCCUGGUCAGUACCUGGAUGGGUGACCACUUUAGAAGACCAGGUGCUGUAAU